UUAAUUGGGAUUAUGGAAGUCAAUUCAAGUCACAGUAGUGAGAUUAUUGUGUUAAUUACCACUUGCUCAGGUUAUUACAACCCUCAAUUGCUUUGUUUUUGCCUUUAAAUUUCAGUCAAGUUAAUAAUGUUUUUCUUUGUGCAACUUUGUUCUUGGAACCUGCAAUUUGUAGGGAUCUGAAUGAAAAAUGUAUUGGGAAGGUGAAAAGUGAUAAAGUAAAAGGGCAGAGUGAUAGAGAGGAUUUUAAUUUGAAAGAUUGAAGUUUUUAAGGAGAUAUUCUCUUGUCGGUGCCUUUCUCUUGCUUUUCUGUGUCUAAGACUAUAUUUGAAUACUCAAAUUAAAUUUGAAAACUAUAUAUUUCUUUGA
RNAcentral lists this long non-coding RNA (366 nucleotides) under Phaseolus vulgaris (common bean). Its description in RNAcentral is "long non-coding RNA (PVUL_LNC005316)". Lineage: Eukaryota; Viridiplantae; Streptophyta; Magnoliopsida; Fabales; Fabaceae. The record is from RNAcentral.